RNAcentral lists this ribosomal RNA (468 nucleotides) under uncultured bacterium. RNAcentral's name for it is "partial 16S ribosomal RNA". It matches the Rfam family "Bacterial small subunit ribosomal RNA", at positions 28 to 507 of the family's 1533-position model. The record is from RNAcentral.
GACGAACGCUGGCGGCGUGCUUAACACAUGCAAGUCGAACGGAAAGGCCCUGCUUUUGUGGGGUGCUCGAGUGGCGAACGGGUGAGUAACACGUGAGUAACCUGCCCUUGACUUUGGGAUAACUUCAGGAAACUGGGGCUAAUACCGGAUAGGAGCUCCUGCUGCAUGGUGGGGGUUGGAAAGUUUCGGCGGUUGGGGAUGGACUCGCGGCUUAUCAGCUUGUUGGUGGGGUAGUGGCUUACCAAGGCUUUGACGGGUAGCCGGCCUGAGAGGGUGACCGGCCACAGUGGGACUGAGAUACGGCCCAGACUCCUACGGGAGGCAGCAGUGGGGAAUAUUGCACAAUGGGCGGAAGCCUGAUGCAGCAACGCCGCGUGCGGGAUGACGGCCUUCGGGUUGUAAACCGCUUCCGCCUGUGACGAAGCGUGAGUGACGGUAAUGGGUAAAGAAGCACCGGCUAACUACGUG